Molecule: long non-coding RNA, 442 nt
Organism: Ornithodoros turicata
Lineage: Eukaryota; Metazoa; Arthropoda; Arachnida; Ixodida; Argasidae
Exons: 4
Source: RefSeq, a predicted model, not a curated record
CGUCAUUCGCCUUUCUCUUCGCCUGCCCUGCGGUCCUGUUGAAGCGUUGAUGACGAACAAAACAAGACACCGAUGUCUUUACGCACGAGUUACUUUAGACAUCAAAGGAAACAUCUUAAUGUCAGCAAGUAUAAGUUUUCAUGUUUUGCCUCUGAAUGCAAUGCGAAGCGUUUUCUUCACAUUCCGUUUUCUCUUCUCAGUGCCUAAGAAAUGAUGCUCAUAAAAAGCAACAACUGCCGGCUCCAACGAUUUCCAGCAUGGAGGAGACUGAAUCAUUCCUUCUUGAAGAACUGCAGGUACCGACAGAAUAACGGAGCAUACAAGAGCUGAUUUUCUCCUGUAGGAAGGACAACAAAUCCAGGAUUUCUCUGUUCCAUCCACGCUAGUCAUAUAUUAUAAAUUGGCAGGAGAACCACUGCAGGGUGUCGCUCUUCCACCCACG